UACGUAGGCAGCAAGCGUUGUUCGGAAUUACUGGGCGUAAAGAGUUCGUAGGCGGUGUGCCAAGUUUGGUGUGAAAUCUCCCGGCUCAACUGGGAGGGUGCGCCGAAUACUGGCAUGCUCGAGUACAGGAGAGGAAAGCGGAAUUUCUGGUGUAGCGGUGAAAUGCGUAGAUAUCAGAAGGAACACCUGUGGUGUAGACGGCUUUCUGGAUUGUAACUGACGCUGAGGAACGAAAGCGUGGGUAGCAAACAGG
RNAcentral lists this ribosomal RNA (253 nucleotides) under uncultured bacterium. RNAcentral's name for it is "partial 16S ribosomal RNA". It matches the Rfam family "Bacterial small subunit ribosomal RNA", at positions 524 to 776 of the family's 1533-position model. The record is from RNAcentral.